AUAGGAGAGCUACUGUUAUUCUGAGCAGAUCAAUUUUUUUCUCUUGUAGCAAAAAGAAAAAAGAAGUAACAUUAGAGACUAAAUAUCAUUCGCGCCUAUCUAUAGCUGGGUGUUUUCUAAAAGUAUAAAAGUACUAUUUUCCUAAAGGAAAAUUUAGUUUUUUUAGGACAAGCUAAAAAAACUAAAUAGCAAUGAGUUAAACAAUUUAAAAAAUUAAGAUAAGCUUAAAAACGGUUAGAUUAAAAAAUCCAGUAAAAGGGUAAAUAAAAUUAAAAAGAUAAUUUUGAUUAUAAUUCAUGCUUAAGCAUAGAAAACAUUUAAAAAGAACAUGUUUUUUAAGUUAAAAUGGUAAGCAUAAGUAAAAAAAGUUUAAAUAAAUAAUUAACUAUUUAAAUAAAAUUAACAAAGGAACUCGGCAAAAAAGAGCAAAGACUGUUUAACAAAAACAUAGCUUCUAGAAUUUAUUAGAAGUGUAAUCCUGCCCGGUGAAAGAAAUUUUUAACGGCCAUAACAUUGCUAAGGUAGCGUAAUCAGUUGUCCUUUUAUUGAGGACUAGUAUGAAAGGAAAAACGACGCUCAACUGUCUCUGUUAAUCUAUUAUAAAUUAAUUUUUAGGUGAAAAAGCCUAAAUUUUAUUAAAGGACGAGAAGACCCUAUAGAGUUUUAAUGCAAUGUUUAAAUUUUAUAAAAUAAUUGAAGCAAAGCGUUUUAGUUGGGGCAACAUAGGAACAUUUAAUUUCCUAUAUUUAAAUUUUAUAAUUUUAAAGAACACAAAUCCUUAAAAAGAAAAAGAAAAACUACCUUAGGGAUAACAGCGUAAUUUUUCUAAAGAGAUC
RNAcentral lists this ribosomal RNA (836 nucleotides) under Amathia verticillata. RNAcentral's name for it is "partial 16S ribosomal RNA". The stretch from base 367 to 836 matches the Rfam family "Archaeal large subunit ribosomal RNA", at positions 1423 to 2570 of the family's 2987-position model. Lineage: Eukaryota; Metazoa; Bryozoa; Gymnolaemata; Ctenostomatida; Vesiculariidae. The record is from RNAcentral.